AAUAGUUAUGAGAGCAACACUUGUGCGUGAAGUGGGUCAGGGGAGGAAUCCAGCAGCCCUAAGCGAUUUCAGGCGUGUGCUCUUUUUUAUGUUCCCAA
Molecule: signal recognition particle RNA, 98 nt
Filed under: Streptococcus phocae subsp. phocae
Lineage: Bacteria; Bacillati; Bacillota; Bacilli; Lactobacillales; Streptococcaceae
Description: signal recognition particle sRNA small type
Rfam family: Bacterial small signal recognition particle RNA
About the family: The signal recognition particle (SRP) is a universally conserved ribonucleoprotein involved in the co-translational targeting of proteins to membranes. Archaeal SRP consists of a 7S RNA and homologues of the eukaryotic SRP19 and SRP54 proteins.
Source: RNAcentral